AUGUGUUACUUGGGAAACUGCCCCAAAUACUUAGCGGACAAGAAGGCCGGCAACACUAAAGGUAUAUUUGAUAUACAUGUAAUUGAUGUGUACCUUACCAGUACUCGUAGUAACUCCUGGGUAUUUGAUAUCGGUGCCGUUGCUCACAUUUGUAACUCACAGCAGGAGCUGCGGAAUAAGCGGAGACUGGCGAAGGACGAGGUGACGAUGCGCGUCGGGAAUGGUUCAAAGGUCGAUGUGAUCGCCGUCGGCACGCUACCUCUACAUUUACCUACGGGAUUAGUUUUAAACCUCAAUAAUUGUUAUUUAGUGCCAAGUUUGAGCAUGAACAUUGUAUCUGGAUCUCGUUUAAUACGAGAUGGAUACUCAUUUAAAUCCGAGAAUAAUGGUUGUUCUAAUUAUAUGAGAGAUAUGUUUUAUGGUCAUGCCCCGAUGGUCAAU
This 441-nucleotide ribosomal RNA is filed under the name Triticum aestivum (bread wheat). Its description in RNAcentral is "partial small subunit ribosomal RNA". Lineage: Eukaryota; Viridiplantae; Streptophyta; Magnoliopsida; Poales; Poaceae. The record is from RNAcentral.